UAGGGAAUCUUCGGCAAUGGGGGGAACCCUGACCGAGCAACGCCGCGUGAGUGAAGAAGGUUUUCGGAUCGUAAAGCUCUGUUGUUAAGGAAGAACGAGUGUGAGAAUGGAAAGUUCAUGCUGUGACGGUACUUAACCAGAAAGGGACGGCUAACUACGUGCCAGCAGCCGCGGUAAUACGUAGGUCCCGAGCGUUGUCCGGAUUUAUUGGGCGUAAAGCGAGCGCAGGCGGUUAGAAAAGUCUGAAGUGAAAGGCAGUGGCUCAACCAUUGUAGGCUUUGGAAACUGUUUAACUUGAGUGCAGAAGGGGAGAGUGGAAUUCCAUGUGUGGCGGUGAAAUGCGUAGAUAUAUGGAGGAACACCGGUGGCGAAAGCGGCUCUCUGGUCUGUAACUGACGCUGAGGCUCGAAAGCGUGGGGAGCGAACAGG
RNAcentral lists this ribosomal RNA (429 nucleotides) under Bacteroidota bacterium. RNAcentral describes it as "Bacteroidetes bacterium partial 16S ribosomal RNA". It matches the Rfam family "Bacterial small subunit ribosomal RNA", at positions 355 to 776 of the family's 1533-position model. RNAcentral also lists the same sequence under 1 other name. Lineage: Bacteria; Pseudomonadati; Bacteroidota. The record is from RNAcentral.